AGUAUAAAAAUAUUUUCUGUUUAUAGUGUGAUAAAUUUCCUACAACUUUUGUCUAAGGAAGAACUGCGUAUCUCGGCUCCUUAAUGCCAUUCAUGUACUUUGUCGCUUACUUGGGACACCUAUACCUGUACAACAAUUUAGCACUGAAUUACAAUUCAAACUAGAACCAACACUAGCAUUAGAACUAACACUAGACCUAGAACUAGAAACAUUGUGUUCGUUCCACAGGGUUCAAUACUUGCUUUAAGGGCUUUAAUACUUUUUAUUAAUGACCUACCCGGCUUUCUUGAAGAUACUCAUCUGGUUAUGUACGUUGAUGACACAUCUGUUACAAUUGCGGAUGCGGAUCCAGAUCGAUUGAAUAUGAAAAUCACGUCAACUAUUAAAAAGUUUUCUGUAUAGUGUGAGCGUAAUAGGAUUAUGUUAAAUGUUGACAAAACCGUUUGUAUCAGCUUUUUCCAAGCGUCGAACAUUGCCAACUAGUUUUGCGAAUAAAUUUUUAUUUGCACAACACACAGGGCCGGAUCACAACUUUUAUAAGCCCGAGGCGCUCUAUAUUUUUGGGCCCCAAAAAAAGUCUAAUAUUACCAUUUAAGUAUUAUGUAUAAUAAUAAUGUUUAUUGCCUCAAAAACAGUUAUUUACAUAAAUAUUUAUAUACAUUCAUAACAAAUAAUAGACAUCAAGGCAAACGGAUCAAUUUGUCGCAAUAAUCGAUAUCUUCCAAGAGACCAAACUGGCAACAGUGUACAUGUAAUUUUAAAUAAAUAAUUAUGGCUACCAAAAAAGUAAUACUAAAUGAUGUGCUAAUAGGAUUGAGCAAAUGAGCAUAUUUGAGUUAUGUAACGGAUCGACAGUCAGUUACUGCAAGGAAAUAGACACAAAAAAAUGCAGUAAAAGAUAGAUGAAAGGCAGACUAGAGAAGAAAACAAACACGUGUAGGUCAAGAAGAAGAUAGUUGAAGAGAUAGCAGAUGGCGCCUUAAGAUUUCAGUACUAUGGACUGGAAACAUGAGUGUAGAGUUCGACAUUGAUCGAGUGGGCAAAUCAUGUGAUGCUAAAAGGUGGACAAUUUAUGGACAAUUUUGUACAAAAUAGUAAGCAUACGAAAUGAUCUACGACUCUGGCAAGUCAUCAUCUGUAAGUUGUUACGAUAUGGAGUAAUGUGCUGAAACUUUCCUAAAUCAAAAAUGUACCGUAUACAAUUGUUCUGAAGUCUUCCUGAGUUCCCCAGCACACUGCCCUGGGGAACUCCACAUUUGAUGUCAACAGGAGAAGUGAGUACAGAUUCCACGCGGACACGUAAAGACCGAUAGGAAAGGUAGGACUAGAACCAAGAUACACAAGAAGAGGUAAAACCAAUAGCAGAAAGCCUAGUUAACAGGAGGGCAUGGUCCAUAGAAUCAAAGGCCUUACUAAAAUCAAGUAACACAACGGUUAUCACACGCAUAUCUAAUAUCAUCGGUGAUCUUAAUCAGUGCUGUAGUAGUACCAUGCCCUUCACGAAAACCAGACUGAAAUUUGUUAACCAGAUUAAACUCCUCAAGAUAUUUCUGAAUCUGCAAAUAAGCUAAAUGUUCAAUAGCUUUUAACAACGUAGAUUCAAUAAAAAUGGGUCGAAAGUCGCCAACAUGGGACGGAGAUUUAAUUUUUGGGAUAGGAAUAACAUAGGCGAUUCGCCAGAUUGACGGAAAUAAAGACUGUUUAAAAGAACAGUUGAAAAUAUGUGUUAGGGGAGUAAUAAUUAUAUCCAGAAUGGGCAAGAGGAAUCUGAGUUCAAUACCAUCUGCUCCGACACUAGUGGACUUGGAGUAAGUUAAACCAUCCCGCACCUCAGCAUUUGUAACCAAACUCAAUGAAAAGGAAAGCACGUUGUACUUUACCUAGUUAUGUUACUAACCACCACAGGAGGAUCCGCAAAUAUGUAUAUUAUAUGCCUAUGCAAUAUCAAAUCAGAACCGGGUUAACCCGGUUAAUAGAACCGCCCACUGGUUAAUCCAGCCCUGGCAACACACACGAUUUCUUGGUUUGGUGUUAGAUGGCAGGCUCUCUUUUGAAAGUCCCCUUUAUGACUUCUCAAGAAUUUAUAAUAGAUUACCUCGGUCGAUUAGAUCUCAGGAGUUUCCCAAACAAUUUAAACAAGUUGCAAAACGGUACUUCUUAGACUCUGUGUUCUAUUCAAGACAGGAAUUAUUAGAUAGGAAGUGAUUUUUGUUAGUUAUAACGUAUUAUAUAAUUUACUAUUGUAUUUUGUUUUAUUGUUCUUGUAUGUAUGCUGACUUGUCACAUUUACUUAUGAAGCCUACGUGAUUGAAUAAAUAUUCUACAUUCAG
Molecule: long non-coding RNA, 2330 nt
Filed under: Onthophagus taurus
Lineage: Eukaryota; Metazoa; Arthropoda; Insecta; Coleoptera; Scarabaeidae
Description: uncharacterized LOC111421465
Source: RNAcentral